RNAcentral lists this ribosomal RNA (254 nucleotides) under uncultured bacterium. RNAcentral describes it as "partial 16S ribosomal RNA". It matches the Rfam family "Bacterial small subunit ribosomal RNA", at positions 524 to 776 of the family's 1533-position model. The record is from RNAcentral.
UACGUAGGGUGCGAGCGUUAAUCGGAAUUACUGGGCGUAAAGCGUGCGCAGGCGGUUCGUUGUGUCGGUGGUGAAAUCCCCGGGCUUAACCUGGGAAUGGCCAUGGAAACUGGCGAACUGGAGUGUGGCAGAGGGGGGUGGAAUUCCGCGGUGUAGCAGUGAAAUGCGUAGAGAUGCGGAGGAACACCGAUGGCGAAGGCGGUCUGCUGGGCAGUUGCUGACACUGAGGCGCGACAGCGUGGGGAGCAAACAGG